GGGAGAGGUAGGAGGGAGCAGAGGAGAGAGGGACCCGUCGUUGGCAGGAAAUGUGGAGGUGGAGCAUAACUGUCCACACCUCAGAGAAGAGGAAAACUCCAAAACCCCAACAAAUAGAAAACAAAGCCUGGGAUAGAAAAGUGCCAGAGAAACCAACCCACAUAGCACAUGCAUUUUCUUUUCUUUAUCAUUUCUUUUCUGGAUCAUCACACCGCAAUAAUCAUUGCACGGAAUGAAAACAAAUAUUAUGCGGGGCCCGCCAUCUGGUCAAUUAGUGGAAGCCAACACCACACCCUCCUCCAUCCAAUCGCAUUGCGACUGUUCUUUGCCUCCCCACAGUCCCUGAUCAUCUUUUCAUGUCAUGUGGAGAUUGUUGUCCUUGAUAAUUCUUUUAAUUUUGCCCCCUCUGCAAAUGCUAAAUUGUGCUAUUGGGAUGGCUUUCCUUUUCAUGGGCAGGUGUUGCGUCUAAACUGAUUGGCAUUGUUGUC
This 488-nucleotide long non-coding RNA is filed under the name Prunus dulcis (almond). RNAcentral describes it as "sRNA ncRNA". The record is from RNAcentral. Lineage: Eukaryota; Viridiplantae; Streptophyta; Magnoliopsida; Rosales; Rosaceae.